AUUGAACGCUGGCGGCAGGCUUAACACAUGCAAGUCGAGCGGGGUGAUGGUGCUUGCACUAUCACUUAGCGGCGGACGGGUGAGUAAUGCUUAGGAAUCUGCCUAUUAGUGGGGACAACAUCUCGAAAGGGAUGCUAAUACCGCAUACGUCCUACGGGAGAAAGCAGGGGAUCACUUGUGACCUUGCGCUAAUAGAUGAGCCUAAGUCGGAUUAGCUAGUUGGUGGGGUAAAGGCCUACCAAGGCGACGAUCUGGAGCGGGUCUGAGAGGAUGAUCCCCCGGACUGGGACGGGGACACGGCCCAGACGCCUACGGGGGCAGCAGUGGGGAAUAUUGGACAAUGGGGGGAACCCUGAUCUAGCCAUGCCGCGUGUGUGAAGAAGGCCUUAUGGUUGUAAAGCACUUUAAGCGAGGAGGAGGCUCUUUUGGUUAAUACCCAAGAUGAGUGGACGUUACUCGCAGAAUAAGCACCGGCUAACUCUGUGCCAGCAGCCGCCGUAA
Molecule: ribosomal RNA, 501 nt
Filed under: uncultured bacterium
Lineage: Bacteria
Description: partial 16S ribosomal RNA
Rfam family: Bacterial small subunit ribosomal RNA
Source: RNAcentral